This 254-nucleotide ribosomal RNA is filed under the name uncultured bacterium. Its description in RNAcentral is "partial 16S ribosomal RNA". It matches the Rfam family "Bacterial small subunit ribosomal RNA", at positions 524 to 776 of the family's 1533-position model. The record is from RNAcentral.
UACGUAGGGGGCAAGCGUUAUCCGGAUUUACUGGGUGUAAAGGGAGCGCAGACGGCGCGCCAAGUCUGGAGUGAAAGCCCGCGGCUCAACCGGGGGACUGCUCUGGAAACUGGCGGAGCUGGAGUGCAGGAGAGGUAAGCGGAAUUCCUAGUGUAGCGGUGAAAUGCGUAGAUAUUAGGAGGAACACCAGCGGCGAAGGCGGCUUACUGGACUGCAACUGACGUUGAGGCUCGAAAGCGUGGGGAGCAAACAGG